ACCAGGCAAAAUGGCACACACCUGUAGUCCCAUCUACUAGGAAGGCUAAGGCAGGGGGAUCACUUGAGCCCAGGAGUUCUGGGCUGUAAUGUGCUACAUACCAAUGGGGCAUCCACACUAAGUUAGACAUCAACAUGGUAACCUCCCAGCAAUGGGAGACCACCAGGUUGCCUAAGGAGGGGUGAACCACCCAGGUUGGAAAUGGAGCAGAUCAAAAGUCCCAUUCUGAGACCAUGCCUGUAAAUAGGUAGCCUGGGUAACACAGUGAGACCCCCCCGCCCUU
This is an unclassified non-coding RNA of Callithrix jacchus (white-tufted-ear marmoset), 283 nucleotides long. It matches the Rfam family "Metazoan signal recognition particle RNA". From Rfam's summary of the family: The signal recognition particle (SRP) is a universally conserved ribonucleoprotein. It is involved in the co-translational targeting of proteins to membranes. The eukaryotic SRP consists of a 300-nucleotide 7S RNA and six proteins: SRPs 72, 68, 54, 19, 14, and 9. The record is from Ensembl. NCBI's taxonomy places the organism in Eukaryota, Metazoa, Chordata, Mammalia, Primates, Cebidae.